Molecule: ribosomal RNA, 463 nt
Filed under: uncultured bacterium
Lineage: Bacteria
Description: partial 16S ribosomal RNA
Rfam family: Bacterial small subunit ribosomal RNA
Source: RNAcentral
GAUGAACGCUGACAGAAUGCUUAACACAUGCAAGUCGAUGGGGAAGUGGUGCUUGCACCAUGGCAACCAUGGCGGACGGGUGAGUAACGCGUAAGGGACUUACCUGCAGGACUGGGAUAACAGGGGGAAACUCCUGACAAGACCGGAUAAUGUCAUGGAGCUGCAUGGCUUUAUGAUGAAAGGAGACGCCUGCGGAGAGCCUUGCGUCCUAUUAGCUAGUUGGUGAGGUAAUGGCUCACCAAGGCGAAGAUAGGUAGCCGGCCUGAGAGGGUGGACGGCCACAAGGGGACUGAGAUACGGCCCUUACUCCUACGGGAGGCAGCAGUGGGCAAUAUUGGACAAUGGGGGCAACCCUGAUCCAGCAAUUCUGUGUGCACGAAGAAGGUUUUCGGAUUGUAAAGUGCUUUCAGCAGGGAAGAAGUAAGUGACGGUACCUGCAGAAGAAGCGACGGCUAAAUACGUG